GAAGAAUUAGUUUAAUUUAUAAAACACUAAAUUGUCAGUUUAGAAUUAUUAUUUUUAAUAUUCUUUU
RNAcentral lists this transfer RNA (67 nucleotides) under Dielis tejensis. RNAcentral describes it as "tRNA-Asp". RNAcentral also lists the same sequence under 1 other name. Lineage: Eukaryota; Metazoa; Arthropoda; Insecta; Hymenoptera; Scoliidae. The record is from RNAcentral.